This is a long non-coding RNA of Bombyx mori (domestic silkworm), 628 nucleotides long. RefSeq lists it as uncharacterized. Lineage: Eukaryota; Metazoa; Arthropoda; Insecta; Lepidoptera; Bombycidae. The transcript has 4 exons. The record is from RefSeq and is a predicted model, not a curated record.
AUUGGCUUCUUGCAUCGCUAUUGUCAAAUAUUGUCAAAUAUUCAGUUAUUUAAAUGAUAUUGAAUAUUAACAAGUCUAAACAAAUUUCAGUGAUUUCUAAUUAUUCUAAGAAUAUUUUAGGAGUACAACUUUCGUGUUAAAAUGAUACUAUUCAUUACCAUGCAAUAGGAGAUGACUGACAAAACCGGCGCAUGCGCAAUGUAGGCGUAAGUGGCGUGGUACACUACAUGUCAGAGCUCUGAUAAUCCAGUCAAAACUUUUCAAAACUUCACCAUGGACUGGUACAACCGAGGGAGUUUCAACAUAUCCCCAUGUUUGAAAGAGCUUAUGAACUGUUGGGAAAUAGCCAAAGCUGAUGUGAUCUGCUCCGAUAACAAAUAUUACGAAUCUGUUUGCGGAUUCAUGAGACAUUAUUGUCACGAUGUAUUCCAAGAUUAUGACAGUUACCUGUUAUGGUUUCGAUUCUCUUUAUUUGAAUCCGUCUGUCAGUCUACGUGGCAUGAACACUACACGUGAACAUCAUCGAUAGUGCUUCGUACUCUACUUAACUAGAGUUACUCUUCAUCUAUCGAUCUUAUAACAAACACGAUCCCAAACCAUUCAAAUAAAAUUGUAUUAAACAAAAAAA